UGGACAGGUGCUUUCUGAAUGUUUACAGGGA
RNAcentral lists this non-coding RNA (31 nucleotides) under Mus musculus (house mouse). The record is from RNAcentral. Lineage: Eukaryota; Metazoa; Chordata; Mammalia; Rodentia; Muridae.